This 253-nucleotide ribosomal RNA is filed under the name uncultured bacterium. RNAcentral describes it as "partial 16S ribosomal RNA". It matches the Rfam family "Bacterial small subunit ribosomal RNA", at positions 524 to 776 of the family's 1533-position model. The record is from RNAcentral.
UACAGAGGGUGCAAGCGUUGCUCGGAUUUACUGGGCGUAAAGCGUACGCAGACGGUAAGGAAGGUCGGAUGUGAAAGCCCCGGGCUCAACCCUGGAACUGCAUUCGAAACCCCCUUGCUAGAGUAUGGGAGAGGGAAGCGGAAUUCCUGGUGUAGAGGUGAAAUUCGUAGAUAUCAGGAGGAACACCGGCGGCGAAGGCGGCUUCCUGGCCCAUUACUGACGUUCAGGUACGAAAGCGUGGGUAGCAAACAGG